Molecule: long non-coding RNA, 1079 nt
Filed under: Urocitellus parryii (Arctic ground squirrel)
Lineage: Eukaryota; Metazoa; Chordata; Mammalia; Rodentia; Sciuridae
Description: lncRNA (ENSUPAG00010023590.1)
Source: RNAcentral
UUCUUCUCUGUCUCCCCACCCAUGACAAAGCAAAACACAAAAGGGGAGAGAAGCUUCCACACCCCUACCCCACCGGGCAGCUUUGGCACUUCCCAGGCUCCAGUGAAUCAGCAGCAGCAGCCUUGCCCAGCAGAGGCACAAUGCCCAUGGGACUUGAUGGUUCCGGGCAGAGCAGGACAGAGCAAAGGAAGAGACAGAAAAUAGCUAAAGUCUGUAACAACUGACCAAACUUGCUCUGGGCACACAUGAGAUGCUCCCCAGGGACCUUGGAAGGGUAUGGAAUUUAUGUGCUGUCUUGGUGGAAGGAUGCAUAGUUUCCAUUAGCUGCCUCUUAUUUGUGGCUGUUCAGCGAGCAUUUGUAGAAAUGUUUGUCCAGACGGAAAAGAAGAAAGAGAGCCGGAAGAGUUGCCACAGCCAGCCUUUGAAGACGGGCUUCASCCAGGCAAUUUUAGGAGCAGCUCCUCUAGGACUCUUGCUGGAAAUUGAAGAGGAAGGUUAUUGGGAAAAACUAUAACCCCAGCUGCUGCAGUUAUUUGGGGAUCACCACCACUGGUGCUCAUUGUCUCCUUCCUCGUCAUCCAUUCUGAAUGCCCUUCUCUCUGCUAGUAUCUCCACCGGGUUCUGGUUUACCUGAUGCCUUGUACUCUGGAGAUUUGUGGUCCCUUGAUGACCACCAGGCACUUCUCAAACUAGGAUUGCUACACUUCACUUGCCUCUCUGUUGUCAUGAUUGGGCAAGAGAGUGCUAAAAGUGAAUCCAUCUUGGCCAAGAUGUUGAUGACUCUUCUUGACUUCUGGUUCCUGAACAUAGGGUUCACAAAGUGCCCAGGUGGCAUCUAUAGCUUGUAGCUCAAGAGGACUCUUGCUGGGUCAUCUGGUGGACGAUUCCUCCUUUGGAUACAAAGACCUUUAGCCCAGCAGGUCCCAAAGUCAGAGCAUCAUCUUUGAUUCAAGAUGUACAUGGCACCAGGUGCCAUGGCUCAUGUCUGUAAUCCCAGCAGCUUGGAAGGGUGAGGCAAGAGGAUCGAKAUUUCAAAGCCAGUCUCAGCAAAAGUGAGGYGCUAAACAACUCAGUGAAAC